GAUGAACGCUGACAGAAUGCUUAACACAUGCAAGUCGAUGGGGAAGUGGUGCUUGCACCAUGGCAACCAUGGCGGACGGGUGAGUAACGCGUAAGGGACUUACCUGCAGGACUGGGAUAACAGGGGGAAACUCCUGACAAGACCGGAUAAUGUCAUGGAGCUGCGUGGCUUUAUGAUGAAAGGAGACGCCUGCGGAGAGCCUUGCGUCCUAUUAGCUAGUUGGUGAGGUAAUGGCUCACCAAGGCGAAGAUAGGUAGCCGGCCUGAGAGGGUGGACGGCCACAAGGGGACUGAGAUACGGCCCUUACUCCUACGGGAGGCAGCAGUGGGGAAUAUUGGACAAUGGGGGCAACCCUGAUCCAGCAAUUCUGUGUGCACGAAGAAGGUUUUCGGAUUGUAAAGUGCUUUCAGCAGGGAAGAAGUAAGUGACGGUACCUGCAGAAGAAGCGACGGCUAAAUACGUG
This 463-nucleotide ribosomal RNA is filed under the name uncultured bacterium. RNAcentral's name for it is "partial 16S ribosomal RNA". It matches the Rfam family "Bacterial small subunit ribosomal RNA", at positions 28 to 507 of the family's 1533-position model. The record is from RNAcentral.